AGCCAUGACGUGGAGGUUCUCAAGCGUACCACCGGCUUUCCCAUGCUUACCAAGGUCACACUCAAUCCCUAGUUUUCUUGCAAUCUCAUAGUGACGAUUCUAAUAUCUCUCUCUCUCUCUACCUUAUAGGAUAAGCUACGCGAAAGAAAUGUUUUCGAUACGCUAAGAGACGAUUUCGUGGCUUGUUUCGGGCAAUGGGACUUCGAACCAGCAGAUCUAAACAUCACUGAAGAAAGCUCUGUCCACAUCUGGCAUGGGAAGGAAGACAAAGUAGUCCCGUUUCAACUUCAAAGAUGCAUUCUCCAGAAGCAGCCUUUGAUCAACUACCACGAGAUCCCUCAAGGCGGACAUCUCAUCGUCCACUACGACGGCACUUGCGACGCGAUUCUACGCUCUCUAUUGCUCGGUGAAGAACACAAAAUGUACAAACCAGUUCUUGAUUCUUGAUUCAAAACUGUGACAAUGACAUUAACAUUAAUGUAUAUAAACUGUGUGUUUUGAAUGAAGUAAAUGGAUUAGCAAAAGUUGUACAAAAUGAUAAGCAGAUGAUCAGAUACUACUCGGAUUAUUAUCAUUAUCACUGAUCAGACGAUCGAAACGUCGUGAAUCGUUUGAAACGAGCCUCAACAGAUCAACCGCCUUCUUCCUUCCUUUAUUACUCCCGCUCGUAGUUGUCUUGGAGUCUAGACGAACAUGGCGUCUAGUUGACCACGUACGGUCAUUAAUAAGAUAGUUUCGAGUUUUCUUUUUUUCCUAAACCAUGUUCACACCUUUUUUACAUAACUUUGUCCACAACACAUCUUAUACAUCCUGUCCACAAUACCUUGAAGAUAUGUUCACUUGAUUAACAACUUAAUGAAGAUGAAAGAGAUGAUCUUUAUGGCUUACUACUAGUACAUCUUUUGCAGAGAUGCUUAGUUGAUUAAUGUAUUUUAUUUUAAUAUGGUGGAGAUUGAGUAAGCUCAGGUUUGAUUGUUUCAUAUAUUGCUUGAAGAAGAGAGUCGUAUUUCUAAUUGUGUUCAAAAACAAUUGUUUCUUUCUUCGAUUUCUUGUGACCACAUAUAAGUUUGAUUAUAGUUUUUCUCAAACUUGUUUUGUUUGACACAAUAAUAGCCUCAAAUUGAAUUUUUUGAUGAUGAUAAAUUUGCUCAACUCGUCUUGUUUCUCUUGAAUUACCUAUCCACAAAUUUAAGAAAUCCCAGAUUAUGUACGUUAAAAUUGUUCAUCCACAACUUGCUCUGUCCACAAACAUGUAUCCAUCCAUAUCCACAAACAUUCAUUUAUCCAUCCAUAUCCACAAACAUCUCUUCCUUCUCGUUAAGGGUAAAUUUGUCAAAAAAACGCCUAGGUCCCACCAGAAAGUGUGUCAAAUGUGAGAAGUGUCUCUCAUUGUAAAUGAAAGACAAAAAGUGUUCUACCGUGUAAUCAGCUCUUUUAUAAAAAAAAGAAAAAGAGGUGAAGGAAGAUCCUAACAUAUAUAGUACAACAUAAAGGAAACAGAGUGGCAGAAGAGUGAAAUUAAGACAAAGGAACUUGGCCCAUUUAGUCAUAAAGAUUCCAUUUCGAUUCAGAAAUUGGAGAAGUGGUUCCGUGAUGACUGAACCAUCUGCAAAUCCGUCGUUGUUUGACAAGAUGUUUCGUCACUCAUCAGGUUCCUAUUCAAAAUUAAUUAUAGCCAAAAGUUAAUGAUUAUUUUAUAAUAUAAGAUGUAUAAAAUGAAUUACUAUAAAUGUGACUUACUCUUGUGGUCGAGACAACCAAAGAGAGCUAAGAGCUCUGAGCCGUCCAUAAUACUCCCCGAUGACUAGAAAACAACGUGCAGCUUGGCGAACGGUCAAAAUCCGACGCAGCUGAUGAACAGUCUGCUGCCUCAAGUUUUCAGCCUUCAAUUAAAUUAACAAUGUCAUUGAGAAAAAAAAAACUAAAUGAGCUAUCACAGUUUAUUUGAUUAACAUUUUUAAAGACUCACUAAUUCUUUUGGUAUAAUUAUAAAGAAGAUAACAACGGCACACCUACUGCCUAGUUAAUGGGUACUAGAUGGAUUGUCUCCGCGCAAGCGCGGAGUCGUUGACGUUUUUUCGUUUAUAUAAAUGUGUUAAAAUGCUGAUGUGCUUUUGUUUGGUCUUUGAUUUCUCAAGAUUUGUAUGUGUUUGAGGUUGUUGUUUUGGUUUUGUGAACCAUUUUCGUUAUUAAACCAGAAUGGUAUAUUUGGUGGUGUUUAUUUGAUAUUUUUUUUUUUUGCAACAAUGGUCAUUCUUCCAAAUUUUAUAUUUUUUUAUUUCGUUUAAUUUUUGUUCUCAAAUAAAUUAUUUUUUGAAAAUUAUACUGGUGUGAAAUUUGGAAACUUACACCUGUUUUUAUGAGUUCUAACGGGUUGAAAAUGAAAUAUAUUGUUGCAGACAAAUAAUAAUAUAUUUGGCAUGUAAAAAUGUUGGGUUUGUUAGUCAAUUAAAGAAACGAUGGUGAAGAGUUUGUGGUCAACUUGCAAUAUAUGUAAUUCUGAAUUGUCUCUGAUAAUGAUAAUUGACUGGAGGAUCUAGCUUUCGGUCAUAUUAUAUAAUCGUACGGUCUAGAAGACAUUUUUGGAGGUCCCAUUAUUUAAAAAAAAACAUUUACAGCACUGCCACUACCACUGCUUUUAGCUUAAAAUAAAAUUUUAAGGAAAUUAUUUAUAAAACGAUUUUCAUCCAUUUCCUUAAAUAAUGAAUAUAUAUUUAUUUAAAAUGGGUAUAUAUAACCAUUGCUUAAGAUGUCGUUGAAAACAUUUUAUGUUAUCAUCGCAAUUAUUUGAAUAACAAUUGAUAUAUAUAUAUAUACCUUGCAAAACAAUCCCCAAACCCGUGAAAACCUAACUAUAAGUGUUGCCUCAAUAUAAUAUAUCGUUUACCAUGCAAAAAACAAACCUUAAACCCCAAAUAAAUACAAGUUUACCUACCAAUUUAGAGACUUUUUUUUACAUUCCCUUGAAUUAGUCUGAAGAGUAACCACAUGAUCUGAAGAAUGAUUGAUAUCAUGUAAAGAGAUGUCAUUUACAGCACUGCCACUACCACUGCUUUUAGCUUAAAAUAAAAUUUUAAGGAAAUUAUUUAUAAAACGAUUUUCAUCCAUUUCCUUAAAUAAUGAAUAUAUAUUUAUUUAAAAUGGGUAUAUAUAACCAUUGCUUAAGAUGUCGUUGAAAACAUUUUAUGUUAUCAUCGCAAUUAUUUGAAUAACAAUUGAUAUAUAUAUAUAUACCUUGCAAAACAAUCCCCAAACCCGUGAAAACCUAACUAUAAGUGUUGCCUCAAUAUAAUAUAUCGUUUACCAUGCAAAAAACAAACCUUAAACCCCAAAUAAAUACAAGUUUACCUACCAAUUUAGAGACUUUUUUUUACAUUCCCUUGAAUUAGUCUGAAGAGUAACCACAUGAUCUGAAGAAUGAUUGAUAUCAUGUAAAGAGAUGUCUUAACACACAAAAAGCACAAAAUAACAUAGUAAUAGUACUCGGAUAAAUCACUGAUCAACGAGUGGUCGAAGAAGAGCGGAUGCCACGUUUCCUGUAGACAUCGAUCCCCAAACGCCAGGCUCCGCAAACACCUAAACGUUUCUUGAGCAGUGCAAAUCUCUUCUUGUCUUUUUUUUUCUUCUUCUUCUCCUUCUCCUCAGAAAAGCUCCAAUGCUUACCUUGGAAAGUCAAUGAUCGUGAAGACUCAUCGUAGACCCGUCUAAUGAUGGCUUUGCGGUAACACGGCUCACCAAGCCGAUCCUUGGCCAAGUCUUUGUAUACCAUGUAGACGACAACGCUCUUGGAGUCGAGUCUCGGCGGAUCCGCAUCACUGAGACUUCGAAUGGCCACUUGCUCAAUGUAGAAAUCAGAGAGUUGGCUCUGCAAAAAAAAAAAGACAAUAGAAAAUUUCAUGAUCGGCAAUAAUCAAUAGAACAAACAACAAUGCAAAAAAAAUAAAAUAAAACUUACCUCAGUCAUACCCCUAUCGCAGGUACUGUGUGCAAGAUCCAAAUACAAACGAACCCAAUCAGUGUUUCGCAGCUCGUGUUCAUUCAACUACAGAAGUCAAUGAAAACACACAUGAAUAGGGGAAAUCAAAAUUGUGUUUAGUAGGUGUUAAUUCAAUUGUGUUUACCUUGUAAAAACGCCGCUGGGCAAACAUCUCUGAGGAGGGCCAGCGAGGCAGAGGACUACAUGUGUAGGUUGGUCGGCAAAGUCGAGGCUGCUCCUCUGAACAUCGGGGUCUAGCUAUGGGGACCGAGAUAUCCAGACAACCAAUGCGGUUUUCACUAACAAGCGCAUGGAAAGGAAGCGUACGACCAGAAUCUGGACAGUCUGCAAACAGGGUGAGGUAGUACGGGGCAGCCCCGAAAGUCAUACCCCUGUUGUAACUUUGUAAGAGAGAGAACCCGUAGUUAGUCCCCUGAAACAAAAUAAUUUCAAUGAAUCAGAAAGGAAUUGAUAAAGAAUGAUGUAAAACAAUUGAAAACAGGAUUAUUACCUCCAAAAAAUUGUAACGAUGAAGUCCCAACUGGGCAUAAACCUUAACAAACGCUUCAUCUUCAGGGUGCCAGUACCGCGCGUGCUCAAAGUGUCUCAACCGAUAAGAUGAGAUUGGACCAUCAGUGGGUAAAUCAAAACCCUAAUUAAGGAAUAAAAUUAUCAAUUUAGGUUUGCAAUUUCUUACCAAACAAAUCAAAUCAUAGACGAGAUUCCAACAAAAAAGGAAAGAAAAACUUACAUCGAACUUUAUUACUUGCGGACGACCGUCUUCUCCCUCUCCUCUUUGGCAAGCCAUGAGAUUGUUUUUCUUAAGUUACGUUUUGAUCGAUACUUGAUCAAUUUGAUAUGCGGCUCGUUCCUCGGGGUUUGAUAGAUAGAUCUAUUUGAAGUUGCGCCUGAUUUCGGGGUUUGAUAGAUAGAUCUAUUUGAAGUUGCCCCUGAUUUAGGGUUUAUGUGAACAUAUUUUGGGUUAGGUUUUGUCUCAGAGUUUUGGAAUCUAUCGUCAGAGUUUUGGAGUCUAUCGUGUGAUAAUGUGUUGUAAUUAGAGAGUUUAGAGACUAAAUAUUUAUGUGUUAUUAUUAAUGAUCAAUGAGGUUCAUUUAUAUAAAGAUUACAAGAUGAAAGAUAAAUGGAAAGUAUCCAAAACCUAAAUUUACUAGGAUUAGGAAAACUACUAAUACAUAAUAAAUGAUAGGAAAAGGAAUUUUCCAACCUUUGUGGCCCCGUAUCUCUCCUCUCUCUAGGAUUCGACCAUCUCUCUAUCUUCUAGGUAUUGGACCGGUCUUGGACCGGACCUAAUUAAUGGCAAUCCAUUCCAUGAUUUAUAACAUCAGUUUAAUAUUUAGUUUUAUAAAAAAUUAAAUUAUUGACUUAAAUACAAAUUUAAAUUAGGAUUAUAAAUUAUAAAACAUUAAUAUCAUGUUGAUAAUCAAUGUAUUAUUUUUUUAUGUUUAUUUUUUUAUUUAUGGGAAAUAAAUUUUGGAUCAAAAUAUUUUUUAUAAUCUAUACUAUUAUUUGAGAAGUGAAAGUGCUUAGUUGUCAUCUUUCCAUAAUUUUAGGAUAAGUCAUUAGUUUAAUUAAUAUUUUUAUUUAAAAUUAUAUAUAUGUAUUUGAGAAGUAAAAGUGCUUAGUUGUCAUCUUUCCAUAAUUUUAGGAUAAGUCAUUAGUUUAAUUAAUAUUUUUAUUUAAAAUUAUAUAUAUGUAUUUGAGAAGUAAAAGUGCUUAGUUGUCAUCUUUCCAUAAUUUUAGGAUAAGUCAUUAGUUUAAUUAAUAUUUUUAUUUAAAAUUAUAUAUAUGUGUGUAUAUAUAUAUCUAUAUGUAUUUAUCAUGAUAUUUAAGAUAUUCAAUAAACAUUAAACCAUUCUACCGAUAUAUAUACUAUUAUUUUGAAAAUAUAUUUAAUAUAUAUAUAUAUAUAUAUAUUUAUCAUGAUAUUUAGGACAUUUAAUUAAUAAAUAUAUAUUAACAACUGAUAUUAACAAUAUCUACCGAUAAUAUCAUAUACGUUUAGAUUAAAGGUAAAUAUUGAUCCAAAUACAUAUAAUUACAAUAUUAAAGUUUAGAUUAAAGGUAAAGCAUCAUUGAAAAUAUGUAGUAAAAUAUAAAUUAUAUACUUAUGUUAAGUAUUUUUUAUAUAUUUAAUAUUAAACAAUCGUAUGGAAACAAUUCCCGAUUAAUAUAUCGUCUAAGGGGAAGAAGUAUUCGUCAACGUAAGACUCUUUUGUAGUGCCACCGGAGGUAGAGAGACAUUCGUAACGCCGCCGAGUUCGUUUUUUCAUCAUAGCUUUAAACGCCAUUGGAAUAAAACCAUCCAUUGAAUACUAUUAUUAGGGUUGACUUGUUAUGUGUGUAUGAUUGUUGAAGGAAGAAGAAUGAAACAAAGAACAAGAGGAGAAGAAGAAGAAGAAAGUGGUUUUGUUGUUUUUUAUGUGGGGGAAGUUGGGAGGUUUAUGGUUUGGGUAGUGGUUCUGUUGAUCACACACACUCACACACAGCUGCCAUCAAUUUCUGGCGUCUAUCUUUCUUUUCCUUAUAUAUAUUUCUAUUAUCCAGUCUACUUCAACAGCCAUGACGUGGAGGUUCUCAAGCGUACCACCGGCUUUCCCAUGCUUACCAAGGUCACACUCAAUCCCUAGUUUUCUUGCAAUCUCAUAGUGACGAUUCUAAUCUCUCUCUCUCUCUCUACCUUAUAGGAUAAGCUACGCGAAAGAAAUGUUUUCGAUACGCUAAGAGACGAUUUUGUGGCUUGUUUCGGGCAAUGGGACUUCGAACCAGCGGAUCUAAACAUCACUGAAGAAAGCUCUGUCCAC
Molecule: long non-coding RNA, 6798 nt
Filed under: Brassica napus (rape)
Lineage: Eukaryota; Viridiplantae; Streptophyta; Magnoliopsida; Brassicales; Brassicaceae
Description: long non-coding RNA (BNAP_LNC016838)
Source: RNAcentral